RNAcentral lists this ribosomal RNA (1032 nucleotides) under Triticum aestivum (bread wheat). Its description in RNAcentral is "partial small subunit ribosomal RNA". Lineage: Eukaryota; Viridiplantae; Streptophyta; Magnoliopsida; Poales; Poaceae. The record is from RNAcentral.
AUGACUGAUAAUGGCAGCAACGGUACGAGUCGUGAUGGAAAUAAUUCGGGCAAUACAAAUGCUGGAUUAUUGGUCCAAGAACUUGGUGACCAGAGUGUGCUGGCCAAUCUGCUCACUAACAUUUUGGGCAGACAGCAAGAGACUCAACAACGUCAAAUGGAUAUUCUGGAGCGCGUUGUAAAGAAUGAUAGCCACCGGAGUGGAGUUGGGGAAUUUCAAAAACUCAAGCCGCCCUCAUUCUCCGGGACUGCUAAUCCGCUUGAAGCGGAAGACUGGAUCACCGCUAUGGAGAAAGCAUUUGAGGCUAUGGGCUGCACCAACGAAGAGAAAGUCAUUUAUGCAGUUUAUAUGCUAAAAUCAAGCGCUUUUGAAUGGUGGGACGCUCACAAAAAGUCUUACCCGGAGGGUACUCCCCUGACAUGGAUAUUGUUCAAAGAGGCGUUCUAUAAAAAGUAUUUUCCAGAAAGCAUCAAACGCAUCAAAGAAAGGGAGUUUCUUGAGCUUAAACAAGGGAACAAAUCUGUAGGAGAAUAUGAAAUUGAAUUCUCUAGACUUGCAAGAUUUGCUCCAGAGUUCGUCCAGAUUGAUGGCUCCAAGGCUGGACGCUUCGAGAGCGGUCUACGUCAACCACUUAAGCGGCGUGUGAAAGCCUUUGAGUUAAAUACUUUUAGAGAUGUGGUGAAUAAAGCCCAGUUGUUGGAAAAGGGAUUUCAAGAGGAAAGGGGUGAUGCUGAACAGGUGGUCGCCCAGAACGAACCAGAGGCAACUCAUUUGGGAGUAUGCCAAGGAGAUGCCCAAUCUGUAACGGGAAUCAUACACCAAAUAUUUGUCCAGAUCGUUGGGGGAAGUGUUACGCAUGUGGAAAGCCGGGACACACUCGGACUUCGUCCAAAUAAUCGAGAGAAGCCUCACGGAGGGAACCAAGCUAGAGUAUUCAAUCUAACUCGGAAGAAUGUUGAGGAGUCCAACAACGUGGUGACAGAGUGCGCGGGAAGUGGGCAUGGUGAGGAGUUAGAGGAGCAUGAGGAAUAA